Molecule: ribosomal RNA, 2205 nt
Filed under: Acinetobacter baumannii
Lineage: Bacteria; Pseudomonadati; Pseudomonadota; Gammaproteobacteria; Moraxellales; Moraxellaceae
Description: partial 23S ribosomal RNA
Rfam family: Bacterial large subunit ribosomal RNA
Source: RNAcentral
UGGGUAACACUAACUGGAGGACCGAACCCACUGUCGUUGAAAAGCCAGGGGAUGACUUGUGGAUAGGGGUGAAAGGCUAAUCAAGCCUGGUGAUAGCUGGUUCUCCCCGAAAGCUAUUUAGGUAGCGCCUCGGACGAAUACCAUAGGGGGUAGAGCACUGUUUCGGCUAGGGGGUCAUCCCGACUUACCAAACCGAUGCAAACUCCGAAUACCUAUGAGUACUAUCCGGGAGACAGACUGCGGGUGCUAACGUCCGUAGUCAAGAGGAAAACAAUCCAGACCGCCAGCUAAGGCCCCAAAAUCAUAGUUAAGUGGGAAACGAUGUGGGAAGGCAUAGACAGCUAGGAGGUUGGCUUAGAAGCAGCCACCCUUUAAAGAAAGCGUAAUAGCUCACUAGUCGAGUCGGCCUGCGCGGAAGAUGUAACGGGGCUAAAACUAUGUGCCGAAGCUGCGGAUUACUUGUAAGUGGUAGGGGAGCGUUCUGUAAGCCGAUGAAGGUGUGUUGAGAAGCAUGCUGGAGGUAUCAGAAGUGCGAAUGCUGACGUGAGUAACGACAAAACGGGUGAAAAACCCGUUCGCCGAAAGACCAAGGGUUCCAGUCCAACGUUAAUCGGGGCUGGGUGAGUCGACCCCUAAGGCGAGGCCGAAAGGCGUAGUCGAUGGGAAAAUGGUUAAUAUUCCAUUACUUCUGUGUAAUGCGAUGAGAGGACGGAGAAGGCUAAAUCAGCCUGGCGUUGGUUGUCCAGGUGAAAGGAUGUAGGCAUGUAUCUUAGGCAAAUCCGGGGUACUCUAUGCUGAGAUCUGAUAGCAAGCUGUACUUGUACAGCGAAGUGGUUGAUGCCAUGCUUCCAGGAAAAGUCUCUAAGCUUCAGUUACACAGGAAUCGUACCCGAAACCGACACAGGUGGUCAGGUCGAGUAGACCAAGGCGCUUGAGAGAACUCUGCUGAAGGAACUAGGCAAAAUGGUACCGUAACUUCGGGAGAAGGUACGCUGUUGUUGGUGAUGGAACUCGCUUCCUGAGCUGACGACAGCCGCAGAAACCAGGCCGCUGCAACUGUUUAUUAAAAACAUAGCACUCUGCAAACACGAAAGUGGACGUAUAGGGUGUGAUGCCUGCCCGGUGCUGGAAGGUUAAUUGAUGGGGUUAGCGUAAGCGAAGCUCUUGAUCGAAGCCCCAGUAAACGGCGGCCGUAACUAUAACGGUCCUAAGGUAGCGAAAUUCCUUGUCGGGUAAGUUCCGACCUGCACGAAUGGCAUAAUGAUGGCGGCGCUGUCUCCAGCAGAGGCUCAGUGAAAUCGAAAUCGCUGUGAAGAUGCAGUGUACCCGCGGCUAGACGGAAAGACCCCGUGAACCUUUACUGCAGCUUGACACUGAACUUUGACCUUACUUGUGUAGGAUAGGUGGGAGGCUUUGAAGCUGGAACGCUAGUUCCAGUGGAGCCGUCCUUGAAAUACCACCCUGGUAAUGUUGAGGUUCUAACUCUGUCCCGUGAUCCGGGACGAGGACCGUGUCUGGUGGGUAGUUUGACUGGGGCGGUCUCCUCCUAAAGAGUAACGGAGGAGUACGAAGGUGCGCUCAGCGUGGUCGGAAAUCACGCGUAGAGUAUAAAGGCAAAAGCGCGCUUAACUGCGAGACCCACAAGUCGAGCAGGUACGAAAGUAGGUCUUAGUGAUCCGGUGGUUCUGUAUGGAAGGGCCAUCGCUCAACGGAUAAAAGGUACUCUGGGGAUAACAGGCUGAUACCGCCCAAGAGUUCAUAUCGACGGCGGUGUUUGGCACCUCGAUGUCGGCUCAUCUCAUCCUGGGGCUGAAGCAGGUCCCAAGGGUAUGGCUGUUCGCCAUUUAAAGAGGUACGCGAGCUGGGUUUAGAACGUCGUGAGACAGUUCGGUCCCUAUCUACCGUGGGCGCUGGAAAUUUGAGAGGAUCUGCUCCUAGUACGAGAGGACCAGAGUGGACGAACCUCUGGUGUACCGGUUGUGACGCCAGUCGCAUCGCCGGGUAGCUAUGUUCGGAAGGGAUAACCGCUGAAAGCAUCUAAGCGGGAAGCCUACCUCAAGAUAAGAUUUCCCUAGGACUUUAUGUCCUCUAAAGAGCCGUUCGAGACUAGGACGUUGAUAGGUUGGAUGUGGAAGCAUAGUGAUAUGUGAAGCUGACCAAUACUAAUUGCUCGUGAGGCUUGACUAUACAACACCCAAGCAGUUG